This 58-nucleotide microRNA precursor is filed under the name Haliotis rufescens (red abalone). Its description in RNAcentral is "microRNA hru-mir-1984 precursor". The record is from miRBase by way of RNAcentral. Lineage: Eukaryota; Metazoa; Mollusca; Gastropoda; Lepetellida; Haliotidae.
UGCCCUAUCCGUCAGGAACUGUGUGUGAUUCCCACAGUGUCUGUGGAUACGGCCCAUC